CCUACGGGAGGCUGCAGUGAGGAAUAUUGGUCAAUGGUCGGGAGACUGAACCAGCCAAGCCGCGUGAGGGAUGAAGGUACAGAGUAUCGUAAACCUCUUUUGUCAGGGAACAAAGGCGGGGACGUGUCCCCGGAUGAGUGUACCUGAAGAAAAAGCAUCGGCUAACUCCGUCCCAGCAGCCGCGGUAAUACGGAGGAUGCGAGCGUUAUCCGGUUUUAUUGGGGUAAAGGGGUGCGCAGGCGGUCUGUUAAGUCAGCGGUAAAAGCCCGGGGCUCAACCCCGGCCCGCCGUUGAAACUGGCAGUCUCGAGUUGGAGAGAAGUAUGCGGAAUGCGCGGUGUAGCGGUGAAAUGCAUAGAUAUCGCGCAGAACUCCGAUUGCGAAGGCAGCAUGCCGGCUCCACACUGACGCUGAGGCACGAAAGCGUGGGUAUCGAACAGGAUUAGAUACCCGUGUAGUC
This 459-nucleotide ribosomal RNA is filed under the name uncultured bacterium. RNAcentral describes it as "partial 16S ribosomal RNA". It matches the Rfam family "Bacterial small subunit ribosomal RNA", at positions 338 to 795 of the family's 1533-position model. The record is from RNAcentral.